This is a non-coding RNA of Misgurnus anguillicaudatus (oriental weatherfish), 4056 nucleotides long. The record is from RefSeq and is a predicted model, not a curated record. NCBI's taxonomy places the organism in Eukaryota, Metazoa, Chordata, Actinopteri, Cypriniformes, Cobitidae.
UGUUAAAUUUUCAGGGAUGGUGUUAAAUACACAGUGUUGAUGCUGUUUUAACACUAUCUGGUAAUAAAAUAACACUGCCAUUGCUAGGCCAGUGUUAUAUCAACGACAGUGUCAGUGUAAAACAAGGGUGUUACCAGAUUUCACACUGAGCGGUGUAAAUCAAGCCACGCCUCCAGUAAACAUUUCCUGUCAGGGAUUUUACCGCCAUUUUCUUUCAAAGGAGGACUGAAGAGAGCAGAUGCUAGUUUGGUGAAAGUACACACUGAGUGCUUCAAAUCAUUCAGAAGAGAUGCUGUUUUUAAGGGCAGUUUAUUAAAGAAGACCUGACAUGGAUGACUUCCAAUGAGAAACGACUGCUAAUACUUAUAUAAAUUCAUUACAGAAGGACCCUACCAGACUAUAUUUGAAUACGGCAUACCCAUGAAUUCUGGAACUUUUAUUUCUUAACCCAGUUUGGAGGAUAAGAGCUUACCAACUAUAAAUAUGCUGAGGUGAUGUAUUGCAAAAUAGCCAACAUACAACAAUUAAAGGAUAAUUGCAGCCUAUAUCCUGAUGAAGAUAUGGAUGACCCUCUGUCUGGUCAACAGGAGUUUAAAUAUGGACGGGACAGUUAUGUGGCAGCUCUUCCCUGACUCAUUCACCUCUUGCCUUCAUUUGUGAAAGGAAGAAAGACUGGAGAGGGUCAAUGAAGCUACUGAUUGUCAGAGAUGGGCAUAAAUACAUGGAAAUGUAUUUCAAAUACAAAUACAAAAUACUGUGUCGAAAAAUGUAUUUAAAUACAAAUACAAAAUACUGUGAAGAAAAAUGUAUUUAAAUACAAAUACAGUAUUUUGUAUUUUGAAAAUACACAAAAUACAUGUGAAAUUGGUGAUUCAGUGCAAGUAGCCAUAUUAGGCUGAAAUCUGGGUCUAUUUAUGAAUGCCAAAAAGCAUUUAGAUGUGUGCAACUGCUUAGAAACUUUCAUUUUAUUUUACGUCCCUUUUGCUUUCCCCUUCCCCUUGGAAAUAAAAAACUAGAAAAAAACUUGGUAACACUUUACUUGAAGGGGUGUUCAUAAGACUGACAUGACACCUUCAUAAUCAUAACAUGACGUGUCAUGAACAUGAAGAUUUUAUGCAUGUUCAUGACUACUGCCAUUAAGUGUCAUUUUCUCAAUUAUGUAAUUUUUAAUGCAAAGAUGACAUUGUUUGAUAUAUCUUUGUUAUGACAACUUGACACAUAAACCAAUACAACACAACUUCAAAAUCAAAAUUAUCAAACUUAAGAAACAUUAAACAUUACAUUAAACUGUGAUUUAAAUGUCAUUAAGUGUUAAUACUAUGUCAAAUAUUAUUAAUACUCGGUCAAAUAAACAUUAUGAACUGAAGAAUAUUCAUGUUGCUGUUAUAAAACUAUUUAACAGAGUAUUAACAUUUAAUGACAUUUUAAUGACAAAUUCAAUUUGUAUCACUGGUAAAAAGGGGUCAGUUAUGUUUUGUCUUGGUUAAUGUCAAGUUGUCAUGACAAGUUAUGAUGUAUGGGUUAAUGUCAAGUAAUGUCACAACAAAGACAUCUCAAACAAUGUCAUCUUUGCAAUAAAAAUGACAAUUGAACAAAUGACACUUAAUGACAGUUGUCAUAAACGUCCAUAAAAUCUCCUUCAUAUUCAUGACACGUGUGAUGUUAUGAAGUUGUCAUGUCAGCCUUAUGAACACCCAUUGAAUUAAAUGAUGUUUUAUAAAAACAUCAUAAAAACUUUUUCAUGUGUCAUCGACCCACAACCUAAACAGUUUAUAUGUGAAGAAAUCCACGUAUUUACUUCUCACGAGAUGAGUGUUUGACAAAUUAUUCGGCAAACUACUUUCUCUCAUCGCUGCUUUUUGAUGGUUUUGAGAACAAUUACUCACGAGUCGCCCUCUGUCAUUUGCAGAAUUAUACAACAGAGAGCACGUCAAGCAUAAUAGUCUUGUAGGUUUACUGAGUAGCCUGCAGGUUCACGCCGUAGAGUAGAGCCAUGCGAAUUGCAAAAGUGUAGACAAGGCUUCAACUGCACAAAGCUAAAAAGAAAUCAACAACUGUGUGCUGAUUCCACCACUUGCCGCAUCACGUGUGAGAGGGCCUUUAAAGAAAAACAACACCGUUUUGCAAUAUUUUACUAUGUUCUUACCUCAACUUAGAUGAAUGAAUACAUGCCUAUCUUUUUUCAAUAUGUGCACUUUAUCUUUGCACAGCGUGUCAUGAAUGUGUUAGCAUUUAGCCUAGCCCCAUUUAUUCCAUAGGAUCUAAAGAGGGAAAAAUUUAGAAGCCACCAAACACUUCCAUGUUUUCCCUAUUCAAAGACUGUUACAUGAGUAGUUACACGAGUAAGUAUGGUGGCACAAAAUAAACAUGAUUUUUAAGUGAAUAAAAAAUGAGAACUAUAUUGUAUGGCGGAAGAGCACUUAGUUUGCAGCACUUCAACCUCUGGCGCAGUAACAUCAUCUCCUGUAAAGAUGUUACUCCACGCUGAGGUCGAAAUGCUGCAAACUAAGUGCUCUUCCUCCAUGCAUUGAAAAUAGAUAGUUAUGUAUUAAUUUGUCUAAGUUGAGGUAAGAACAUAGUAAAAUAUAUAAAAAUGGUGGUUUUCCUUUAAGUCAAAAGUGUAGGCCUAUUUGUCAGCGUUCCACACUCUGUCUCAGUCGUGCAACAUCACACCCAAUUAUUCAAUCGCCCUUGCUUUUUUUCCCCACUCCAACAUUUCAAUUAUUGCCAACUAAAAGCUGCACAGAUAUAUUUGCUUACCUGAACUCUGGUGUUUGGUCUGAACUAGUUUAUGCAUGAAAACAGCACCCUGACUGGUUGACUGGCUCAAAGUAUUUUGAGUAUUUUAAAAAUACAAAAAUACUAAUCUUAAAUGUAUUUAAAUACAAAUUACAUUUCAUUUUUUUCAAAGGCUUUAAAAUACAAAAUACAAAAUACUAUUUUGUAUUUCAAAUACGUAUUUUAAAUACAUGUAUUUGAAAUACUGCCCAUCCCUGCUGAUUGUGCUGUGUAAGUUUUUUGGUAUUUUGUUCUAGUUAUUUAUUCAGCAGUUAGUUUGCUUGCAUUGUUCACCCCAUGUAAAUGCAUACAAGUUCAUAAAUACACAUCAAAUACAUUCAUCAAAUACACUCUUUUAAAACACUUAGGUGAUGAGCAUCAAUCCAUGCUUUGAGGGGGAUGAAUCAGCACAGCCCUGCCUGCUCUGCGUUGGGAACAAAAGUUGCAUCCAGAAUUUUUGCAUCAUUCUGGACCAAAAAGCCAUUCCCUCCAUGAUGAAGACCACUGAUGCAGCCUUCCACUACUGUACAUCAUGAGUAAAACAACUACAGAACUAAAUACCAGGUUGGAACGUGUUUAAGAAAAAUGAAACGUCUUUUGAAUUGAAAUGUCUGUUUUGUUAUGGAAAAAUCUUUAGUAUCUGCUUGCCGAUAAGGUAAUUGCAUGUAUUUUAAUGUUCAAGUUUUGAGUAGGGUUGGCUAAUUUUUUUAACUCUUUAUUAAAGACCUUUAUAAUAAGUGGUUUUCAUGUCACUGCGCUGUGGUAUAAGAUAACUUUCAUUAUUCCAUAUUGUAUUCUGUGUCUAAUUGUAGCUGAGGUAUUUAAAUAAGCAGUGUUAAAUGCAAAGUGUUGUGUGUAUUAAUGUAAAUAUUAAAUGUGAUGUACUUUAAUAAAAAGAGGUUUUGCAAUAUUUCUUGUAAUUUGUCUUUUAUAGAAACAACCCAUUAGGAACAAAAGUGGCUAUUACUCAGUAUUUUAACACUUAACAUUGUUGAAUUCACAUUACACUGGUGUUGACCUUAAAUUAGGAGUGUUAAUUUUUAACACUGUAUUUCUGUGCCAACACCAGUGUAGUGUAGAAACAACAAUGAAUAGUGUUGAACAAAGUGUAAAAUUUAACAAUAUUGAGUGUUAAAUUAACAUAUAAUGGGUGUUGUUAAAUUAACACUACACUUUUGACUAAAUUAACACAGUGUAGUGUGGACACAUAUACACACUUUGCCGGUGUUAAAUUUGACACCGUGGGUGUUAUUUUAACACCAGUGAUUUUGCUGUGUA